RNAcentral lists this ribosomal RNA (840 nucleotides) under Lactobacillus delbrueckii subsp. bulgaricus. RNAcentral describes it as "bacterial SSU rRNA". It matches the Rfam family "Bacterial small subunit ribosomal RNA", at positions 328 to 1161 of the family's 1533-position model. Lineage: Bacteria; Bacillati; Bacillota; Bacilli; Lactobacillales; Lactobacillaceae. The record is from RNAcentral.
GGCCCAAACUCCUACGGGAGGCAGCAGUAGGGAAUCUUCCACAAUGGACGCAAGUCUGAUGGAGCAACGCCGCGUGAGUGAAGAAGGUUUUCGGAUCGUAAAGCUCUGUUGUUGGUGAAGAAGGAUAGAGGCAGUAACUGGUCUUUAUUUGACGGUAAUCAACCAGAAAGUCACGGCUAACUACGUGCCAGCAGCCGCGGUAAUACGUAGGUGGCAAGCGUUGUCCGGAUUUAUUGGGCGUAAAGCGAGCGCAGGCGGAAUGAUAAGUCUGAUGUGAAAGCCCACGGCUCAACCGUGGAACUGCAUCGGAAACUGUCAUUCUUGAGUGCAGAAGAGGAGAGUGGAAUUCCAUGUGUAGCGGUGGAAUGCGUAGAUAUAUGGAAGAACACCAGUGGCGAAGGCGGCUCUCUGGUCUGCAACUGACGCUGAGGCUCGAAAGCAUGGGUAGCGAACAGGAUUAGAUACCCUGGUAGUCCAUGCCGUAAACGAUGAGCGCUAGGUGUUGGGGACUUUCCGGUCCUCAGUGCCGCAGCAAACGCAUUAAGCGCUCCGCCUGGGGAGUACGACCGCAAGGUUGAAACUCAAAGGAAUUGACGGGGGCCCGCACAAGCGGUGGAGCAUGUGGUUUAAUUCGAAGCAACGCGAAGAACCUUACCAGGUCUUGACAUCCUGUGCUACACCUAGAGAUAGGUGGUUCCCUUCGGGGACGCAAAGACAGGUGGUGCAUGGCUGUCGUCAGCUCGUGUCCUGAGAUGUUGGGUUAAGUCCCGCAACAAGCGCAACCCUUGUCUUUAGUUGCCAUCAUUAAGUUGGGCACUCUAAAGAGACUGCCGGUGACAA